Molecule: ribosomal RNA, 460 nt
Filed under: uncultured bacterium
Lineage: Bacteria
Description: partial 16S ribosomal RNA
Rfam family: Bacterial small subunit ribosomal RNA
Source: RNAcentral
CCUACGGGUGGCAGCAGUGAGGAAUAUUGGUCAAUGGACGAGAGUCUGAACCAGCCAAGUAGCGUGAAGGAUGACUGCCCUAUGGGUUGUAAACUUCUUUUAUAUGGGAAUAAAAUGUUCCACGUGUGGGAUUUUGUAUGUACCAUAUGAAUAAGGAUCGGCUAACGCCGUGCCAGCAGCCGCGGUAAUACGGAGGAGCCGAGCGUUAUCCGGAUUUAUUGGGUUUAAAGGGAGCGUAGGUGGAUUGUUAAGUCAGUUGUGAAAGUUUGCGGCUCAACCGUAAAAUUGCAGUUGAAACUGGCAGUCUUGAGUACAGUAGAGGUGGGCGGAAUUCGUGGUGUAGCGGUGAAAUGCUUAGAUAUCACGAAGAACUCCGAUUGCGAAGGCAGUUCACUGGACUGCAACUGACACUGAGGCGCGAAAGUGUGGGUAUCAAACAGGAUUAGAUACCCCAGUAGUC